GCCGUGGUGGCGGAAUAGGCAGACGCAGCAGACUUAAAAUCUGCCGGGCAGUGCGCCCGUACCGGUUCGAGUCCGGUCCUCGGCACCA
RNAcentral lists this transfer RNA (88 nucleotides) under Bacilli bacterium. Its description in RNAcentral is "tRNA-Leu". It matches the Rfam family "tRNA". Rfam says of the family: Transfer RNA (tRNA) molecules are approximately 80 nucleotides in length. Their secondary structure includes four short double-helical elements and three loops (D, anti-codon, and T loops). The record is from RNAcentral. Lineage: Bacteria; Bacillati; Bacillota; Bacilli.